Molecule: ribosomal RNA, 492 nt
Filed under: uncultured bacterium
Lineage: Bacteria
Description: bacterial SSU rRNA
Rfam family: Bacterial small subunit ribosomal RNA
Source: RNAcentral
UGUCGGAUUAGCUAGUUGGCCGGGGUAAAGGGACCCGACCAAGGCAACGAUCCGGUAGCGGGGUCUGAGAGGAUGAUCCGCCACACUGGGACUGAGGACACGGCCCAGACUCCUACGGGAGGCAGCAGUGGGGAAUUUGGACAAUGGGCGCAAGCCUGAUCCAGCCAUGCCGCGUGAGUGAAGAAGGCCUUCGGGUUGUAAAGCUCUUUCGGCUGGGAAGAAAUCGCAUCUCCUAAUACGGGGUGUGGAUGACGGUACCAGCAUAGAAGCACCGGCUAACUACGUGCCAGCAGCCGCGGUAAUACGUAGGGUGCGAGCGUUAAUCGGAAUUACUGGGCGUAAAGCGUGCGCAGGCGGUUUCGUAAGACAGAGGUGAAAUCCCCGGGCUCAACCUGGGAACUGCCUUUGUGACUGCGAGGCUAGAGUAUGGCAGAGGGGGGUGGAAUUCCACGUGUAGCAGUGAAAUGCGUAGAGAUGUGGAGGAACACCGAU